AUGCUGCCUUGCAAAGCUUCUGGAUUCACAUUUAGUCUAUAUGACUGGAAUUAUGUCCGUCAGGCCCCAGGAGGGGCUCUGCAAUUUCUAGGCUGGAUCUAUCCAUUUGGGAAUAACACAGGCUAUGCCCCACCUUUCCAAGGCCGAGUCACCAUCUCUGCAGAUAAAGACAAAAACAAGGUCUCCCUGCAGCUGCAUGCCCUUACAGCCUUAGACACAGCCACCUAUUUCUGUGCCAGGCAGCACACAGUGACACCAAUGCAGGAAGAACCA
Merops nubicus (carmine bee-eater) is the source of this 273-nucleotide non-coding RNA. The record is from the annotation of a RefSeq genome assembly. Lineage: Eukaryota; Metazoa; Chordata; Aves; Coraciiformes; Meropidae.